Molecule: ribosomal RNA, 497 nt
Filed under: uncultured bacterium
Lineage: Bacteria
Description: partial 16S ribosomal RNA
Rfam family: Bacterial small subunit ribosomal RNA
Source: RNAcentral
GAUGAACGCUGGCGGCGUGCCUAAUACAUGCAAGUCGAGCGAACAGACGAGGAGCUUGCUCCUCUGACGUUAGCGGCGGACGGGUGAGUAAUACGUGGAUAACCUACCUAUAAGACUGGGAUAACUUCGGGAAACCGGAGCUAAUACCGGAUAAUAUAUUGAACCGCAUGGUUCAAUAGUGAAAGACGGUUUUGCUGUCACUUAUAGAUGGAUCCGCGCCGCAUUAGCUAGUUGGUAAGGUAACGGCUUACCAAGGCAACGAUGCGUAGCCGACCUGAGAGGGUGAUCGGCCACACUGGAACUGAGACACGGUCCAGACUCCUACGGGAGGCAGCAGUAGGGAAUCUUCCGCAAUGGGCGAAAGCCUGACGGAGCAACGCGGCGUGAGUGAUGAAGGUCUUCGGAUCGUAAAACUCUGUUAUUAGGGAAGAACAAAUGUGUAAGUAACUAUGCACGUCUUGACGGUACCUAAUCAGAAAGCCACGGCUAACUACGUG